GAGGAAUAUUGGUCAAUGGGCGAGAGCCUGAACCAGCCAAGUAGCGUGCAGGACGACGGCCCUAUGGGUUGUAAACUGCUUUUGUAUGGGGAUAAAGUCAAUCACGUGUGAUUGUUUGCAGGUACCAUACGAAUAAGGACCGGCUAAUUCCGUGCCAGCAGCCGCGGUAAUACGGAGGGUCCGGGCGUUAUCCGGAUUUAUUGGGUUUAAAGGGAGCGUAGGCUGGAGAUUAAGUGUGUUGUGAAAUGUAGACGCUCAACGUCUGACUUGCAGCGCAUACUGGUUUCCUUGAGUACGCACAACGUUGGCGGAAUUCGUCGUGUAGCGGUGAAAUGCUUAGAUAUGACGAAGAACUCCGAUUGCGAAGGCAGCUGACGGGAGCGCAACUGACGCUGAAGCUCGAAGGUGCGGGUAUCGAACAGGAUUAGAUACCCUGGUAGUCCGCACAGUAAACGAUGGAUGCCCGCUGUUGGUACCUGGUAUCAGCGGCUAAGCGAAAGCAUUAAGCAUCCCACCUGGGGAGUACGCCGGCAACGGUG
This 539-nucleotide ribosomal RNA is filed under the name uncultured bacterium. RNAcentral's name for it is "bacterial SSU rRNA". It matches the Rfam family "Bacterial small subunit ribosomal RNA", at positions 356 to 896 of the family's 1533-position model. The record is from RNAcentral.